RNAcentral lists this ribosomal RNA (266 nucleotides) under uncultured bacterium. RNAcentral describes it as "partial 16S ribosomal RNA". It matches the Rfam family "Bacterial small subunit ribosomal RNA", at positions 793 to 1055 of the family's 1533-position model. The record is from RNAcentral.
GUCCACGCCGUAAACGAUGAGUACUAGGUGUGGGGGGGUAUCGACCCCCUCCCGUGCCGAAGCCAACGCGAUAAGUACUCCGCCUGGGGACUACGGCCGCAAGGCUAAAACUCAAAGGAAUUGACGGGGGCCCGCACAAGCAGCGGAGCGUGUGGUUUAAUUCGAUGAUACGCGAAGAACCUCACCCAGGUUUGACAUGCACGUUUACCGAUCCGAAAGGUGAGGGACCCUUCGGGGCGCGUGCACAGGUGUUGCAUGGCCGUCGU